This 279-nucleotide ribosomal RNA is filed under the name Rhabditella axei. RNAcentral's name for it is "partial 28S ribosomal RNA". The record is from RNAcentral. Lineage: Eukaryota; Metazoa; Nematoda; Chromadorea; Rhabditida; Rhabditidae.
AUGAACCUGAGCUCAAGCGAGAUUACCCGCUGAACUUUAAGACUAAAUACCCGACUCCCCCUUCCCCCCCGCCCACAACCAACACCCCCCACCCAACCUGGCGCGAAAACGCGGCGCAGCAUCGUUCCUGUGGGGUGUAUCUCAGAAUCCUCACACCCUGUGCCUGACUUGUCUCUUCACACCCCCCCCCACCCCCACCUCCCCAUCCCACCCCCCCACCACACACUAUCUUCACAAUCCAAAUAUCCCAUCACACACCACCACACACAAACACCUGUG